Molecule: long non-coding RNA, 5814 nt
Organism: Oncorhynchus tshawytscha (Chinook salmon)
Lineage: Eukaryota; Metazoa; Chordata; Actinopteri; Salmoniformes; Salmonidae
Source: Ensembl
GGGCACUAGCCCCUAGCACCCUGGUCAAAGUAGGGCACUAGUCCCCAGCACCCUGGUCAAAGUAGGGCACUAGCCCCCAGCACCCUGGUCAAAGUAGUGCACUAGCCCCCGGCACCCUCAUCCAAGUAGUGCACUAGCCCCCAGCACCCUCAUCAAAGUAGUGCACUAGUCCCAGCACCGUGGUCAAGGUAGUGCACCAGCACCCUGAUCAAAGUAGUGCACUAGUCCCCAGCACCCUCAUCAAAGUAGUGCACUAGCCCCCGGCACCCUCAUCAAAGUAGUGCACUAGCCCCCAGCACCCUCAUCAAAGUAGUGCACUAGCCCCCAGCACCCUGGUCAAAGUAGGGCACUAGCACCCUGGUCAAAGUAGGGCACUAGCCCCCAGCACUUUUUAGCUGCAUUUACACAGUCAGCUGAAUUCUGAUCUUUUCCCCAAUUUUUGACAAAAUAGCUAAUUGAUCAAAAGGUGCAAUUAGUGGGAAGAAUAUUAUAAUUGUGUUGGCUGUGUAAACGCAGCCAUGUUGAAUUUGGUGUUUUAGAUGCAGUCCAGUGUAUUCUAUCCAUUCACUCAGCAGGUUAACAAAUCCAACAUCUGUCUUCACUUUCACACCUUUAUACAGAUUAUUCAGGAAGUAUUCAGACCCCUUCCCCCUUCUCCACAUUUUGUUACGUUACAGACUUAUUCUAAAAUUAAUUAAAUAAUCUCAUGAAUCUCAUCAAUCUACACACACUACCCCAUAAUGACAAUGCGAAAACAGGUUUUUAGAAAUGUUUGCUAAUUUUUUAAAUAAGAAACAGAAAUACCUUAUUUACAUAAGUAUUCAGACCCUUUGCUAUGAGACCCCAAAUUGAGCUCAGGUGCAUCCUGUUUCCAUUGAUCAUCCUUGAGAUGUUUCUACAACUUGAUUGGAGUCCACCUGUGGUAAAUUCAAUUGAUUUGACAUGAUUUGGAAACCAAGCCAUGAGGUCGAAGGAAUUGUCCGUAGAACUCCAAGACAGGAUAGUAUCGAGGCAUAGAUCUGGGAAUAGGUACCAAAAUAAUUAUUCAGCAUUGAACACAGUGGCCUACUUUAUUCUAAAUGAAAGAAGUUUGUAGCCACCAAAACUCUUCCUAGAGCUUUCUGCCCAGCCAUUGGGGGAGAAGGGCCUUGGUCAAGGAGGUGACCAAGAACCUGAUGGUCAUUCUGUGGAGAUGGGAGAACCUUCCAGAAGGACAACCAUCUCUGCAGCACUCCACCAAUCAGGCCUUUAUGGUAGAGUGGCCAGACAGAAGCCACUCCUCAGUAAAAGGCACUUGACAGCCCACUUGGAGUUUGCCAAAAGGCACCUAAAGAAAUCAGAUUCUCUGGUCUGAUGAAACCAAGAUUGAACUCUUUGGCCUGAGUGCCAAGCGUCACGUCUGGAAGAAACCUGGCACCAUCCCUACGGUGAAGUAUGGUGGUGGCAGCAUCCCUACGGUGAAGCACGGUGGUGGCAGCAUCCCUAUGGUGAAGCAUGGUGGUGGCAGCAUCCCUAUGGUGAAGCAUGGUGGUGGCAGCAUCCCUAUGGUGAAGCAUGGUGGUGGCAGCAUCCCUACGGUGAAGCAUGGUGGUGGCAGCAUCCCUACAGUGAAGCAUGGUGGUGGCAGCAUCCCUACAGUGAAGCACUGUGGUGGCACCAUCCCUACGGUGAAGCAUGGUGGUGGCAGCAUCCCUACAGUGAAACACGGUGGUGGCAGCAUCAUGCUGUGGGGAUGUUUUUCAGCUUCCAGGGACUGGGAGACUAGUCAGGAUUGAGGGAAAGAUGAACGGAGCAAAGUACAGAGAGAUCCUUAAUGACAACCUGCCCCAGAGCGCUCAGGACCUCAUUCUGGAGCGAAGGUUCACCUUCCAACAGGACCACAACCCUAAGCACACAGCCAAGACAACACAAGAGUGGCUUCAGGACAAGUCUGAAUGUCCUUGACUGGCCCAUCCAGAGCCUGGAUAUGAACCUGAUCGAACAUCUCUGGAGAGACCUGAAAAUAGCUGUGCAGUGAAGCUCCCCAUCCAACCUGACAGAGCUUGAGAGGAUCUGCAGAGUAGAAUUGAAGAAACUCCCCAAAUACAUGUGUGCCAAGCUUGUAGCGUCAUACCCAAGAAGACUUGAGGCUGUAAUCACUGCCAAAGAUGCUUCAACAAAGUACUGAGUAAAGGGUCUGAAUUACUUAUGUAAAUGUGAUAUUUCAGUUUUGUAUUUCUAAUAAAUGUAUAAACAUUUCUAAAAAAACAAACAGUUUUUGCUUUGUCCUUAUGGGGUAUUGUGAUGUCAUUAUGGGGUAUUGUGUGUCGAUUGAUGGGGGGAACAAUUAAUUCCAUUUUAGUAUAAGGUAACAACAUUUUUGGGAAAAAGUCAUGGGGUCUGAAUACUUUCUUAAUGCACAUUAUGUCUUGUUGUAUGGAAGUCUAUGCAUCACAUUAAAUGUGUCAUUUAGGAGACUCUCUCUUAUCCAGAGUCACUACAGUAGUGAGUCAUUUAACAGACUCUCUUAUCCAGAGACACUACAGUAGUGAGUCAUUUAACAGACUCUUAUCCAGAGACACUACAGUAGUGAGUCAUUUAACAGACUCUCUUAUCCAGAGACACUACAGUAGUGAGUCAUUUAACAGACUCUUAUCCAGAGACACUACAGUAGUGAGUCAUUUAGCAGUCUCUCUUAUCCAGACACUACAGUAGUGAGUCAUUUAGCAGACUCUCUUAUCCAGAGUCACUACAGUAGUGAGUCAUUUAACAGACUUAUCCAGAGACACUACAGUAGUGAGUCAUUUAACAGACUCUCUUAUCCAGAGACACUACCGUAGUGAGUCAUUUAACAGACUCUUAUCCAGAGACGCUACAGUAGUGAGUCAUUUAACAGACUCUUAUCCAGAGACACUACAGUAGUGAGUCAUUUAGCAGACUCUCUUAUCCAGAGACACUACAGUAGUGAGUCAUUUAGCAGACUCUUAUCCAGAGCCACCACAGUAGUGAGUCAUUUAGCAGACUCUUAUCCAGAGACACUACAGUAGGGAGUCAUUUAGCAGACUCUCUUAUCCAGAGACACUACAGUAGGGAGUCAUUUAGCAGACUCUCUUAUCCAGAGACACUACAGUAGGGAGUCAUUUAGCAGACUCUCUUAUCCAGAGACACUACAGUAGGGAGUCAUUUAGCUGACUCUCUGAUCCAGAGACACUACAGUAGUUUUUUUUAAAUUUAUUUUAUUUCACCUUUAUUUAACCAGGUAGGCAAGUUGAGAACAAGUUCUCAUUUACAAUUGCGACCUGGCCAAGAUAAAGCAAAGCAGUUCGACACAUACAACGACACAGAGUUACACAUGGAGUAAAACAAACAUACAGUCAAUAAUACAGUAUAAACAAGUCUAUAUACGAUGUGAGCAAAUGAGGUGAGAAGGGAGGUAAAGGCAAAAAAGGCCAUGGUGGCAAAGUAAAUACAAUAUAGCAAGUAAAACACUGGAAUGGUAGUUUUGCAAUGGAAGAAUGUGCAAAGUAGAAAUAAAAAUAAUGGUAGUGAGUCAUACUGGUCCUCCAUGGGAAUCAAAUCCACAACCCUGGUGUUGCAAGCACCAUGCUCUGCCAACUGAGCCACACGGGACACUAAUUCAAUGUAAUAUAAUAUUCACAGGCUGAUUUAAAGGAAUGUUCACCAACUCUUUGAAAAUGACUAUCAAACAACAAUGGAAUAUCUAAUCUUUAAAACUGUAGUAUUUCGUUCAUUUUUGCCAUCAGAUCUAAUUAUUUACCUCAACUGACUUGAUGCUCUGCCAUUUGUUUAGGUCAACACAAAUUAUCUUUAAAAAGUAAUCAUUGGUGAUUAAGUUAUUCUGUCCCUGACCAUCAUGAUCUUAAAGUGACGCUCUCUAACCUUAAGUUAUUUAAUUCAAUAUGUCACCUCAUCAUUUUGUAGCCAUUACUUUAAUGGCUGUCUGACAAAUGUAUUGGUGAUUAGGAAACCAGUCUUUUUUUGAAAUUGGUCCGUUGCUGAUGCCCUCAAGCAGACACCAACCAUAUUUCAGUAGGCCCUAUACUAUAAUAGAAAUGUCUCCAUAAAUAGUGGAACUAGACACCAUCUAUAAAGGCUGGGAACUUAUAAGGCUUUAAUAGUUCACCAUCUAUAAAGGGAACCUAUAAGGCUUUAAUAGUUCACCAUCUAUAAAGGGAACCUAUAAGGCUUUAAUAGUUCACCAUCUAUAAAGGGAACCUAUAAGGCUUUAAUAGUUCACCAUCUAUAAAGGGAACCUAUAAGGCUUUAAUAGUUCACCAUCUAUAAAGGCUGGGAACCUAUAAGGCUUUAAUAGUUCACCAUCUAUAAAGGCUGGGAACCUAUAAGGCUUUAAUAGUUCAUCUAUGUAAGUUGACGCUCCCAUCAUCGUGGGAGAUGACAGGAUUCAAGACAGAUUUUAUACAUAACAAUAUGGCAUAACUUUGUAUGUCAUAAUAACUACAAAUCAGUGAUUUUGGGGAUAUUAUAGAUGAGAUUAAGAAAACAAGUACAGAGCAAACCCAAUGAAUAGUGUUUAUGGCAAUAUUUGGGAAUCAUUUUACUAGUAUUUUCCAAAGAUUGUAUAUUUUUGUAAACCUGGUUAAAUUGUUUGUUAUCUGGACAACAAAUUGUUUUGAGUUAUCAUUUGGCAUUUUCCACUCAUUACUGGGAUGGCACUUAGUCCCAUUAAAACCAAUGGAGCCGGUUGGUGGUACUGCGCUUACGUCAGUUUUAUAAACUGGCUGGUUUGAGCCCUGAAUGCUGAUUGGCUGACAGCUGUGGUAUAUCAGACCUUAUACCACGGGUAUGACAAAAGCAUGCCUUUUUACUGCUCUAAUUACUUUGGUAACCAGUUUAUAAUAGCAAUGAAGGUCCUCAGGGGAUUGUGGUAUAUGGCCAAUAUACCACGGCUCAGGGCUGUGUCCACCCGCGUUACGUCGUACAGCCCUUAGCCGGGGUACCGUAUACCGCAAACCUCUGAGGUGCCAAACUGUUGAAAAUGCCAGUGAAGACACAUGCCUGCUGGUCCCGCGGCCUUGUGAAUGUUAACCUAUUUAAAGGUCUUACUCAGAUCAGCUACGGAGAAUGUGUUCACGCAUGGUUCAGUGUUGCUUGCCUCGAAGCGAGCAUAGAGCACAUUUAGCUAGUCUGGUAGGAUCGCGUCACUGGGCAGCUCACCGCUGUUUCCCUUUGUAAUCCGUGAUAGUUUGUUGUGCAGGUCCUCUUUGUCGAUGAAUUUGUCUUUGUUCUGGUUGGUCAUGUUAAAGGCUUCUUUCAAAUUCUGGAUCUGUGAUUGGUCGAACAUAACGAACACGUUGGAGGUUGCCCUCUGGAGGGGGUUCUGAACACGUUGGAGGUUGCCCUCUGGAGGGGGUUCUGAACACGUUGGAGGUUGCCCUCUGGAGGGGGUUCUGAACACGUUGGAGGUUGCCCUCUGGAGGGGGUUCUGAACAUGUUGGAGGUUGCCCUCUGGAGGGGGUUCUUAGUUAUCAAAUCAAAUCAAAUUUUAUUUGUCACAUACACAUGGUUAGCAGAUAUUAAUGCGAGUGUAGCGAAAUGCUUGUGCUUCUAGUUCCGACAAUGCAGUAAUAACCAACAAGUAAUCUAACAAUUCCAAAACUACUGUCUUAUACACAGUGUAAGGGGAUAAAGAAUAUGUACAUAAGGAUAUAUGAAUGAGUGAUGGUACAGAGCAGCAUAGGCAAGAUACAGUAGCUGAUAUCGAGUACAGUAUAUACAUAUGAGAUGAGUAUGUAAACAAAGUGGCAUAGUUAAAGUGGCUAGUGAUACAUGUAUUACAUAAGGAUGCAGUCGAUG